GAUGAACGCUGGCGGCGUGCCUAAUACAUGCAAGUCGAGCGAACGGACGAGAAGCUUGCUUCUCUGAUGUUAGCGGCGGACGGGUGAGUAACACGUGGAUAACCUACCUAUAAGACUGGGAUAACUUCGGGAAACCGGAGCUAAUACCGGAUAAUAUUUUGAACCGCAUGGUUCAAAAGUGAAAGACGGUCUUGCUGUCACUUAUAGAUGGAUCCGCGCUGCAUUAGCUAGUUGGUAAGGUAACGGCUUACCAAGGCAACGAUGCAUAGCCGACCUGAGAGGGUGAUCGGCCACACUGGAACUGAGACGCGGUCCAGACUCCUACGGGAGGCAGCAGUAGGGAAUCUUCCGCAAUGGGCGAAAGCCUGACGGAGCAACGCCGCGUGAGUGAUGAAGGUCUUCGGAUCGUAAAACUCUGUUAUUAGGGAAGAACAUAUGUGUAAGUAACUGUGCACAUCUUGACGGUACCUAAUCAGAAAGCCACGGCUAACUACGUGCCAGCAGCCGCGGUAAUACGUAGGUGGCAAGCGUUAUCCGGAAUUAUUGGGCGUAAAGCGCGCGUAGGCGGUUUUUUAAGUCUGAUGUGAAAGCCCACGGCUCAACCGUGGAGGGUCAUUGGAAACUGGAAAACUUGAGUGCAGAAGAGGAAAGUGGAAUUCCAUGUGUAGCGGUGAAAUGCGCAGAGAUAUGGAGGAACACCAGUGGCGAAGGCGACUUUCUGGUCUGUAACUGACGCUGAUGUGCGAAAGCGUGGGGAUCAAACAGGAUUAGAUACCCUGGUAGUCCACGCCGUAAACGAUGAGUGCUAAGUGUUAGGGGGUUUCCGCCCCUUAGUGCUGCAGCUAACGCAUUAAGCACUCCGCCUGGGGAGUACGACCGCAAGGUUGAAACUCAAAGGAAUUGACGGGGACCCGCACAAGCGGUGGAGCAUGUGGUUUAAUUCGAAGCAACGCGAGGAACCUUACCAAAUCUUGACAUCCUUUGACAACUCUAGAGAUAGAGCCUUCCCCUUCGGGGGACAAAGUGACAGGUGGUGCAUGGUUGUCGUCAGCUCGUGUCGUGAGAUGUUGGGUUAAGUCCCGCAACGAGCGCAACCCUUAAGCUUAGUUGCCAUCAUUAAGUUGGGCACUCUAAGUUGACUGCCGGUGACAAACCGGAGGAAGGUGGGGAUGACGUCAAAUCAUCAUGCCCCUUAUGAUUUGGGCUACACACGUGCUACAAUGGACAAUACAAAGGGCAGCGAAACCGCGAGGUCAAGCAAAUCCCAUAAAGUUGUUCUCAGUUCGGAUUGUAGUCUGCAACUCGACUACAUGAAGCUGGAAUCGCUAGUAAUCGUAGAUCAGCAUGCUACGGUGAAUACGUUCCCGGGUCU
RNAcentral lists this ribosomal RNA (1372 nucleotides) under uncultured bacterium. RNAcentral describes it as "bacterial SSU rRNA". It matches the Rfam family "Bacterial small subunit ribosomal RNA", at positions 28 to 1381 of the family's 1533-position model. The record is from RNAcentral.